CUAAAAUUCAGGAUUUUGGGGUUUUAUUUUCUUAAAAUUCAGGAUUUUGGGAUUUUAACCUCAGAAAAUUUGGGAUUUUGGGGUUUUAGCCCCAGAAAAUUUGGGAUUUUUGGGUUUAAUCCUCCCAAAAUUGAGGAUUUUGGCGUUUUAACCCCACAAAAUUCAGGAUUUUGGGGUUUUAACCCCUCAAAAUAAAAUUCAGGAUUUUGGGGUUUUAACCCCUCAAAAUUUGGGAUUUUGGGAUUUUACCCCUCGAAAAUCCAGGAUUUUGGGGUUUUUGGGGGGUCCCGAGGGUCUGAACCCCCCAAAUUUGGGGAUCUGAUUUUUGGGGUCCCCCCAGGACCUUUUGGGGUCCCUUCCCCCCAAGUUUUUAGGAUUUAUGGGGGCAGAUUUUGGGGUUUAAUCCUCCCAAAACUCGGGAUUUUGGGAUUUUAACCCCAGAAAAUUCGGGAUUUUGGGGUUUAAUCCUCCCAAAAUUGAGGAUUUUGGGAUUUUAGCCCCAGAAAAUUCAGGAUUUUGGGGUUUUAGCCCCAGAAAACUUGGGAUUUUGGGGUUUAAUCCUUAUAAAAUCCAGGAUUUUGGGGUUUUAUUCUCUCAAAAUUUGGGAUUUUGGGAUUUUAGCCCCACAAAAUUCAGGAUUUUGGGGUUUUAACCCCAGAAAAUUCGGGAUUUUGGGGUUUUUGGGAGGGUCUGAGCCCCCCAAAUUUUGGGAUCUGAAUUUUGGGGUCCCCCAGGACCUCCUGGGGCCGCCGCCCACGCGGGUCCCGGCCGCUCGCGCCGCCAACGUCGCCUUCGGCUUCCUGCGCUUCCGGAGCCGCGUGCGCGCGGGGAGCCUGCCCCCGGUGCUGUUCCGGGGGUCCCUCCCCACGUGCUCGGCUCAGUACGAGCGGCUCUUCGACACCACGCGGCUCCCGGGGGAGCACCGGGGUACGGACCCCAAAAACCCCCCAAAACCCCCCAAAAACCCCAAAAACCCUCAAAAACCACCCAAAAUCCCCCCCAAAAAAACC
RNAcentral lists this long non-coding RNA (1010 nucleotides) under Cyanistes caeruleus (blue tit). RNAcentral's name for it is "lncRNA (ENSCCEG00000004510.1)". The record is from RNAcentral. Lineage: Eukaryota; Metazoa; Chordata; Aves; Passeriformes; Paridae.